GAUGAACGCUGGCGGCGUGCCUAAUACAUGCAAGUCGAGCGAACGGACGAGGAGCUUUCUUCCCUGAUGUUAGCGGCGGAAGGGUGAGUAACACGUGGAUAACCUCCCUAUAAGACUGGGAUAACUUAGGGAAACCGGAGCUAAUACCGGGUAAUAUUUUUAACCGCAUGGUUCAAGAGUGAAAGACGGUGUUGCUGACACUUAUACAUGGAUCCGCGCUGCAUUAGCUAGUUGGUAAGGUAACGGCUUACCAAGGCAACGAUGCAUAGCCGACCUAGGAGGGUGACCGGCCAAACGGGAACUGAGCAACGGUCCAGACUCCUACGGGGGGCAGCAGGAGGGAAUCUUCGGAAAUGGGCGAAAGCCUGACGGAGAAACGCGGCGUGGGUGAUGAAGGUCUUCGGAUCGUAAACCCCUUUUAUCGGGGCAGAAGAUAUGUGUAAGUAAAGGGGCAAAGCUUGACGGUACCUAAUUAGAAAGCCACGGCUAACUACGUG
This 497-nucleotide ribosomal RNA is filed under the name uncultured bacterium. Its description in RNAcentral is "partial 16S ribosomal RNA". It matches the Rfam family "Bacterial small subunit ribosomal RNA", at positions 28 to 507 of the family's 1533-position model. The record is from RNAcentral.